Molecule: non-coding RNA, 24 nt
Filed under: Cricetulus griseus (Chinese hamster)
Lineage: Eukaryota; Metazoa; Chordata; Mammalia; Rodentia; Cricetidae
Source: RNAcentral
AAACUCAAGAGCAGUGUCUGUAGG